GGAGAGGUGGCUGAGUGGUUGAAAGCGCUCCCCUGCUAAGGGAGUAAGGACUAAAAUUCCUUCGAGGGUUCGAAUCCCUCCCUCUCCGCCA
RNAcentral lists this transfer RNA (91 nucleotides) under Gammaproteobacteria bacterium. RNAcentral describes it as "tRNA-Ser". It matches the Rfam family "tRNA". From Rfam's summary of the family: Transfer RNA (tRNA) molecules are approximately 80 nucleotides in length. Their secondary structure includes four short double-helical elements and three loops (D, anti-codon, and T loops). Lineage: Bacteria; Pseudomonadati; Pseudomonadota; Gammaproteobacteria. The record is from RNAcentral.